Molecule: ribosomal RNA, 346 nt
Filed under: uncultured eukaryote
Lineage: Eukaryota
Description: SSU rRNA
Rfam family: Eukaryotic small subunit ribosomal RNA
Source: RNAcentral
GUAGCGUAUAUUAAAGUUGUUGCAGUUAAAACGCUCGUAGUCGAACUUCGGGCCUGGCGGGAUGGUCCGCCUUACGGUGUGUACUAUUCUGCUGGGCCUUACCUCUUGGUGAGACCUCAUGCUCUUUAUUGGGUGUGGGGUGGAACCAGGAAUUUUACCUUGAGAAAAUUAGAGUGCUCAAAGCAGGCUUAUGCUCGAAUACAUUAGCAUGGAAUAAUAAAAUAGGACGUGCGGUUCUAUUUUGUUGGUUUCUAGAGUCGCCGUAAUGAUUAAUAGGGAUAGUUGGGGGCAUUAGUAUUCAGUUGCUAGAGGUGAAAUUCUUGGAUUUACUGAAGACUAACUACUG